Molecule: ribosomal RNA, 253 nt
Filed under: uncultured bacterium
Lineage: Bacteria
Description: partial 16S ribosomal RNA
Rfam family: Bacterial small subunit ribosomal RNA
Source: RNAcentral
UACGUAGGGUGCGAGCGUUAAUCGGAAUUACUGGGCGUAAAGCGUGCGCAGGCGGUUUUGUAAGCCAGAUGUGAAAUCCCCGGGCUCAACCUGGGAAUGGCAUUUGGGACUGCAAGGCUGGAGUGCGGCAGAGGAGACUGGAAUUCCUGGUGUAGCAGUGAAAUGCGUAGAGAUGUGGAGGAAUACCGAUGGCGAAGGCAGCCCCCUGGGCCAAUACUGACGCUCAUGCACGAAAGCGUGGGGAGCAAACAGG